RNAcentral lists this unclassified non-coding RNA (209 nucleotides) under Hevea brasiliensis (rubber tree). The record is from RNAcentral. Lineage: Eukaryota; Viridiplantae; Streptophyta; Magnoliopsida; Malpighiales; Euphorbiaceae.
CGGGUCCAUUCAAAACACAGCGAUCAAGACGAUUAGUAGAUGCACCAGUAUUGAAUCAUCAUUCUCAAGCCACAAAUAUAAAGAUCAGCAACAUAGAACAACUGUACCCUUUUAGCUUUUAAGCCUUAGCAACCCAGAGAGAGAGAGAGAGAGAGAGACCACAGUAACAAUAAAAUGAGUAUUCAGGCAUUGGGUAAAGAGUAAAGACU